ACACGUCUACAUUAGAUACCCGGGUAGUCCCAGCCGUAAACUAUGCGCGUUAGGUGUAUCGGUGACCACGAGUUACCGAGGUGCCGAAGGGAAACCGUGAAACGUGCCGCCUGGGAAGUACGGUCGCAAGGCUGAAACUUAAAGGAAUUGGCGGGGAGCACCACAACGGGUGGAGCCUGCGGUUUAAUUGGACUCAACGCCGGGAAGCUCACCGGAUAAGACAGCGGAAUGAUUGCCGGGCUGAAGACUCUGCAUGACUAGCUG
Molecule: ribosomal RNA, 264 nt
Filed under: uncultured archaeon
Lineage: Archaea
Description: partial 16S ribosomal RNA
Rfam family: Archaeal small subunit ribosomal RNA
Source: RNAcentral